This 1359-nucleotide ribosomal RNA is filed under the name Triticum aestivum (bread wheat). RNAcentral describes it as "partial small subunit ribosomal RNA". Lineage: Eukaryota; Viridiplantae; Streptophyta; Magnoliopsida; Poales; Poaceae. The record is from RNAcentral.
AUGCCGCUGCCGGACGAGCUUCUGGAGGAGAUCUUCCUCCGCCUGCCGCCGGACGAGUCCGAGUGCCUUGUGCGGGCCUCCCUCGCCAGCAAGCUCUGGCUCGGACUCCUCACCGGCGCUCGCUUCCGCGGCCGCUACAGCGAGCUCCACGGAGCCCGCCCGGCCACCACGCUGGGCUUCUUCUAUACCUGGCCUAAGGACGGCGGCCCAAGGGGGGAGGAACCGGUGCCAUACCCACACUUCGUCCCCACCACGAAGUUCGCCGCGCGCAUACCCGACGACGACGAGUGGAGGGAGUGGGAGUGGGAGGACUACGCCGCGUGGGACUGCCGCCAUGGCCGCGUGCUCUUCGGGGAGAGGGAUCGGGGGCCCGGGCAGCUCAUUGUCUGGGACCCCAUCACGGCGGACUGGACGAGCCUGAACGCGUCCAGAGACUACACCGAGGCCAGCAGCCGUGCCGCAGCGGUGCCCUGCGCCAGGAUCGGCUGCGGCCAUCGCUCGUGUUAUUGGGGCGACCCCUUCCUGGUGGUCUUCGUCUACCUGUUCGACACCGUUGCGUACGCGAGCGUUUUCGAGGACACCACUCGAAGACGCAUCGAGACAUGCUCUGGUCUCGAUCUCCCGUUUCAUGCACGCAUCGAGCCAAUGCCCCCUGUCCUCGCCGGAGACGCGCUUCACUUCAUGCUCGCGUAUGAGGACGAUGAUCAUCCUGUAGGAGUUCUCAAGUACAACGUCGUCUCAAAUCGCCUGUCACUGAUCGAUGCGCCAUGUUCGUGGUCUAUCACUGCCGACGACUCUAUCCUCCUCAUGGCGACGGAGGAUGGCAGCUUGGGGUUUGCACACGUGGAUGGGUUAACCCUCUACCUAUGGUCAAGGCAGAUGGGGUCCGACGGAGUUGCGGCAUGGACUCGAGCUAGAGUCAUCCAUCUCAAGGAACUUCUCCCAAUUCAAAAUCCUGAGAAAAGAAUGAAGCUCAAGACACUACGGUGGAGAAAGAUAUGGAAGAGUGAAAAAUUCUGUGCUUUGUUUCCGUACAUGAGUUUCUAUGGUCCAGAAGAGUUGGCAGAAUUUGCCAAGAUGGAGGACGAAGCGAUUGAGGCUGAAGUAACUCAGGAUGAGGAUGAAGCAAUUGGGGAUGAAGCAUGUGAGAAAGGACAGAUGAUUACUGUAAUUCCCUUCACUUCAAAGAUUCGCGAACCUUGCCAGUCAAGUAUAGCAUAUUGUCCUCCAAAUCCGUGGACAAAGGGAAUUCGUAGUCAACUUGCUGAGCACUAUAAUCUAUCAAACCCGGAGAUGAAUCCGAAAUUUGACAUCGAGGUCUUGUUUAAGAACCUCAGUGCGGACAUCAAAGAUGUAUAA